UGGGGAAUUUUGGACAAUGGGGGAAACCCUGAUCCAGCCAUCCCGCGUGUGCGAUGAAGGCCUUCGGGUUGUAAAGCACUUUUGGCAGGAAAGAAACGUCAUGGGUUAAUACCCCGUGAAACUGACGGUACCUGCAGAAUAAGCACCGGCUAACUACGUGCUAGCAGCCGCGGUAAUACGUAGGGUGCAAGCGUUAAUCGGAAUUACUGGGCGUAAAGCGUGCGCAGGCGGUUCGGAAAGAAAGAUGUGAAAUCCCAGAGCUCAACUUUGGAUCUGCAUUUUUAACUACCGGGCUAGAGUGUGUCAGAGGGAGGUGGAAUUCCGCGUGUAGCAGUGAAAUGCGUAGAUAUGCGGAGGAACACCGAUGGCGAAGGCAGCCUCCUGGGAUAACACUGACGCUCAUGCACGAAAGCGUGGGGAGCAAACAGG
This 429-nucleotide ribosomal RNA is filed under the name Acidobacteriota bacterium. Its description in RNAcentral is "Acidobacteria bacterium partial 16S ribosomal RNA". It matches the Rfam family "Bacterial small subunit ribosomal RNA", at positions 355 to 776 of the family's 1533-position model. The record is from RNAcentral. Lineage: Bacteria; Pseudomonadati; Acidobacteriota.